This 253-nucleotide ribosomal RNA is filed under the name uncultured bacterium. RNAcentral describes it as "partial 16S ribosomal RNA". It matches the Rfam family "Bacterial small subunit ribosomal RNA", at positions 524 to 776 of the family's 1533-position model. The record is from RNAcentral.
UACGUAGGUGGCAAGCGUUACUCGGAAUCACUAGGCGUAAAGCGCUCGUAGGCGGUUUGAUAAGUCUGUUGUGAAAGCGCCCGGCUUAACUGGGAGAGGUCAACGGAAACUGUCAGGCUAGAGUGUGGUAGAGGUAGCUGGAAUUCCCGGUGUAGCGGUGAAAUGCGUAGAUAUCGGGAGGAAUACCGAUGGCGAAAGCAGGCUACUGGACCAUAACUGACGCUGAGCUGCGAAAGCUAGGGGAGCAAACAGG